AUUCCAGCUCCAAUAGCGUAUAUUAAAGUUGCUGCAGUUAAAAAGCUCGUAGUUGGAUCUUGGGAGCGGGCGGGCGGUCCGCCGCGAGGCGAGCCACCGCCCGUCCCCGCCCCUUGCCUCUCGGCGCCCCCUCGAUGCUCUUAGCUGAGUGUCCCGCGGGGCCCGAAGCGUUUACUUUGAAAAAAUUAGAGUGUUCAAAGCAGGCCCGAGCCGCCUGGAUACCGCAGCUAGGAAUAAUGGAAUAGGACCGCGGUUCUAUUUUGUUGGUUUUCGGAACUGAGGCCAUGAUUAAGAGGGACGGCCGGGGGCAUUCGUAUUGCGCCGCUAGAGGUGAAAUUCUUGGACCGGCGCAAGACGGACCAGAGCGAAAGCAUUUGCCAAGAAUGUUUUCAUUA
This 395-nucleotide ribosomal RNA is filed under the name Craniata sp. RNAcentral describes it as "partial small subunit ribosomal RNA". It matches the Rfam family "Eukaryotic small subunit ribosomal RNA", at positions 582 to 975 of the family's 1831-position model. The record is from RNAcentral. Lineage: Eukaryota; Metazoa; Chordata.